This 486-nucleotide ribosomal RNA is filed under the name uncultured bacterium. RNAcentral's name for it is "partial 16S ribosomal RNA". It matches the Rfam family "Bacterial small subunit ribosomal RNA", at positions 28 to 507 of the family's 1533-position model. The record is from RNAcentral.
GAUGAACGCUAGCGGCAGGCUUAACACAUGCAAGUCGAGGGGCAGCGCGGGAUAGCAAUAUCCUGGCGGCGACCGGCGGAAGGGUGCGUAACGCGUGAGCGACAUGCCCGUUGCCCGGGGACAACCGGUGGAAACGCCGACUAAUCCCCGAUGGGAUACGAUGCUUCAUGGCAUUGUAUUGAAAGUUACGGCGGCGACGGAUUGGCUCGCGUCCGAUUAGCUGGUUGGCGGGGUAACGGCCCACCAAGGCUGCGAUCGGUAGGGGUUCUGAGAGGAAGGCCCCCCACAAUGGGACUGAGACACGGCCCAUACUCCUACGGGAGGCAGCAGUGAGGAAUAUUGGUCAAUGGGCGGAAGCCUGAACCAGCCAUGCCGCGUGCGGGAAGGAGGCCCUAUGGGCUGUGAACCGCUUUUGCCUGGGGGCAAUAAGGGCGUUGCGCACGUCCGAUGAGAGUACCAGGCGAAUAAGCAUCGGCUAACUCCGUG